GACGACGCUGGCGGCGUGGAUUAGGCAUGCAAGUCGAACGGUAGAGUUCCUUCGGGAGCUUGAGAGUGGCGAACGGGUGAGUAACGCGUAGGUUAUCUACCCUCAAAUUGGGGACAACCCAGGGAAACUUGGGCUAAUACCGAAUGAGAGCAUCUGUAAUGGAUGUUUAAAAGAUGGCAGUAAUGCUGUUGUUUGAGGAUGAGCCUGCGUCCCAUUAGUUAGUUGGUAAGGUAAUGGCUUACCAAGGCGAUGAUAGGUAGGCGGCCUUAACGGGUGGUCGCCCACACUGGGAUUGAGAUACGGCCCAGACUCCUACGGGAGGCAGCAGUCGAGAAUAGUCUACAAUGGCCGAAAGGCUGAUAGUGCGACGCCGCGUGAACGAAGAAGCCCUUCGGGGUGUAAAGUUCUUUUAUAUGUGAGCAGUGCUUUCUAUGUGAACAGCAUGGGGAGAGAGAUAUUAGCAUAUGAAUAAGCAACGGCUAACUCCGUG
This 490-nucleotide ribosomal RNA is filed under the name uncultured bacterium. RNAcentral's name for it is "bacterial SSU rRNA". It matches the Rfam family "Bacterial small subunit ribosomal RNA", at positions 33 to 507 of the family's 1533-position model. The record is from RNAcentral.